Molecule: long non-coding RNA, 325 nt
Filed under: Citrus x clementina
Lineage: Eukaryota; Viridiplantae; Streptophyta; Magnoliopsida; Sapindales; Rutaceae
Description: Citrus clementina (C. clementina) long non-coding RNA (CCLE_LNC002555)
Source: RNAcentral
CGGGUUAUUGAUCGGGUAAAUGGGUCAAGAAUUUUAACCCUAACCCGACACGGAAAAAAAUUGUGUUGACCCGAACCCGACCCAUUUAAUAAUCGUGUUAAAUUCGACGACCCAUACUCAUUUAUUGGUGUCGUGUUCGUGUCGGGUAAUCGGGCAGUGUCAAAUUUUGCCAGCUCUAUUCACAACAAGCGUGUUACCGUGAGAUGAGAUAUGUCAUGUUUAAUAUAGGAAAAAUAAUAACUCUACAACGUUCAAGUUAUAAAAAAUGUAAGAUAACUAAUUACUAUUCAAAAUAAAUACUAAAUCAAGUUAAAUAAAUACCAUA